GUCCACUGAACCUUAUCAUUUAGAGGAAGGAGAAGUCGUAA
RNAcentral lists this ribosomal RNA (41 nucleotides) under Stemona phyllantha. RNAcentral describes it as "partial 18S ribosomal RNA". Lineage: Eukaryota; Viridiplantae; Streptophyta; Magnoliopsida; Pandanales; Stemonaceae. The record is from RNAcentral.